UGCAGUCGAACGCCGUAGCAAUACGGAGUGGCAGACGGGUGAGUAACACGUGGGAACGUGCCCUUUGGUUCGGAACAACUCCGGGAAACUGGAGCUAAUACCGGAUAAGCCCUAACGGGGAAAGAUUUAUCGCCGAAGGAUCGGCCCGCGUCUGAUUAGCUAGUUGGCGGGGUAAUGGCCCACCAAGGCGACGAUCAGUAGCUGGUCUGAGAGGAUGAUCAGCCACAUUGGGACUGAGACACGGCCCAAACUCCUACGGGAGGCAGCAGUGGGGAAUAUUGGACAAUGGGCGAAAGCCUGAUCCAGCCAUGCCGCGUGAGUGAUGAAGGCCUUAGGGUUGUAAAGCUCUUUCGCACGCGACGAUAAUGACGGUAGCGUGAUAAGAAGCCCCGGCUAACUUCGUGCCAGCAGCCGCGGUAAUACGAAGGGGGCUAGCGUUGUUCGGAAUCACUGGGCGUAAAGCGCAUGCAGGCGGAUCGUUAAGUCGGGGGUGAAAUCCCGAGGCUCAACCUCGGAACUGCCUUCGAUACUGGCGAUCUUGAGUCCGGGAGAGGUGAGUGGAACUGCGAGUGUAGAGGUGAAAUUCGUAGAUAUUCGCAAGAACACCAGUGGCGAAGGCGGCUCACUGGCCCGGUACUGACGCUCAGGUGCGAAAGCGUGGGGAGCAAACAGGAUUAGAUACCCUGGUAGUCCACGCCGUAAACGAUGAAUGCUAGCCGUCGGACAGCAUGCUGUUCGGUGGCGCAGCUAACGCAAUAAGCAUUCCGCCUGGGGAGUACGAUCGCAAGAUUAAAACUCAAAGGAAUUGACGGGGGGCCCGCACAAGCGGUGGAGCAUGUG
RNAcentral lists this ribosomal RNA (840 nucleotides) under Methylosinus sporium. Its description in RNAcentral is "bacterial SSU rRNA". It matches the Rfam family "Bacterial small subunit ribosomal RNA", at positions 56 to 943 of the family's 1533-position model. The record is from RNAcentral. Lineage: Bacteria; Pseudomonadati; Pseudomonadota; Alphaproteobacteria; Hyphomicrobiales; Methylocystaceae.